RNAcentral lists this long non-coding RNA (1558 nucleotides) under Homo sapiens (human). RNAcentral describes it as "HSALNT0008144". Lineage: Eukaryota; Metazoa; Chordata; Mammalia; Primates; Hominidae. The record is from RNAcentral.
GGCGCUGACGCGGGAGGGCGGGCAGGGCCGUGGGGCGCGCGCGGGAAGGGACUUGUGGGAAGGAAGGGAGCGGAAAGGCCGAGCGCCACCCGCCCCGGGAGUCUCCAGAGCAGCGCGCGGGGCAGACCUCCUCGGGUCCUCCGGCGCUUCGGUCUCCGGAGACGCCCGGCCUCCUGAAGGGUUCGGCUUGUCCUCCUCUGGCGCUCAGCUCCCUCUGGCGGCCGGGCUGGCAGGACCUCAGCGCCCAGCCCUUCCGUCUUGUUACGUCCAGGGUCUCACUCUGUGUCUCAGGCUGGAGUACAGUGGUGCAAUUGUAGAUGGCUGCAGCCCUCGACCUCCUGGGCUCAAGUGAUCCUCCUGCCUUAGCCUCUCGAGUAGCUGGGAGUACAGAUGCACACCACCACACCCAGCCUAGAAUGAAGAAACCUGCAGUUGGGAAGCAUGAAUUUACCACCUAUUAAGGUAGGAACAUCUUUGUCUUGUUUUGUUUUUCCAAGAGGCUUAUCCUUGCCCUAGGUAUUCACAUGUUAUUUUACAAAGGAAGGAAGGAUCAACUCUUCCAGGGAGAGGACAGGCUUAAGGAGAACCCCAGAGAAUCUUGGAUUGCUAGAUCUUAGUGGCAAUCACAGCACUUUGAAAAUGAACUCAACAUAACCAUAUUUCUUUUAUUUCUGAACAAAACGUUUUCUGCCUUAUAUAAAGAGGUUAAAAAAAAGUUUGUUUUAAAUUAGCAUCGAUUUUCUGAAUUAAAAGUGAAUGCAUCUGAUCAUAAUGUUUCCUGCUCUCCUCUCAAAUAGUUAAAACAUGACUGGGUGCGGUGGCUCACACCUGUAAUCCUAGCACUUUGGGAGGCUGAGGUGGGUGGAUCACCUGAGGUUGGGAGUUCGAGACCAACCUAACCAACAUGGAGAAACCCUGUCUCUACUGAAAAAAAAAUACAAAAUUAGCCGGGUGUUGUGGUGCAUACCUGUAAUCCCAGCUACUCAGGAGGCUGAGGCAGGAGAAUCGCUUGAACCCGGGAGGUGGAAGUUGCAGUGAGUUGAGAUCGCGCCAUUGCACUCCAGCCUGGGCAACAAGAGCAAAACUCCAUCUCAAAAAAAAAAAAAAAAAAAGAAAGAAAAAGAAAGUUAAAACAGAAAUCUAUAAACUACCAUUUUGGAGAAGUUUUAAUAUUGAACUUUGAUUCAUAAAACUCAGCUUAUUCUCUCAUUCUUGCAUCUAGGAGUGACCCCUUCUUCCUCCUCCCCAACACAUGAAGCUUCUGUGAUAUUUCGAACUUUGACCAUGACUCAUGAUGAGAAAUACAUUUUAUAUCAUGACCCAGUAUAUAUAAAAUACAUGUAACUACGUAUAUACAUACAUGAAACACAAGUUUCACAGGACAAAAUUCACAUCGUGUAAUACCACAUUGUUUUCUAUUCUAGUAAAAAAAAGAAUGCUAGUCAGACCCACAAAAUUGAUUUCAUGGCCCACUAAUGAAUUGGGACUAACAGUGUGAUAAAACACUAUCAAGAUUUUAAGGCCGGGCGCGGUGGCUCACGCCUGUAAUCCCAGCACU